RNAcentral lists this non-coding RNA (292 nucleotides) under Nicotiana attenuata. RNAcentral describes it as "rRNA SSU_rRNA_eukarya". It matches the Rfam family "Eukaryotic small subunit ribosomal RNA", at positions 1186 to 1493 of the family's 1831-position model. The record is from Rfam by way of RNAcentral. Lineage: Eukaryota; Viridiplantae; Streptophyta; Magnoliopsida; Solanales; Solanaceae.
CGGCUUAAUUUGACUCAACACGGGGAAACUUACCAGGUCCAGACAUAGUAAGGAUUGACAGACUGAGAGCUCUUUCUUAAUUCUAUGGGUGGUGGUGCAUGGCCUUUCUUAGUUGGUGGAGCGAUUUGUCUGGUUAAUUUCGUUAACGAACGAGACCUCAGCCUGCUAACUAGCUAUGCGGAGGUAUCCCUUCGCGGCCAGCUUCUAGUAGGGCUAACGGCCUUUUAGGCCGCGGAAGUUUUGAGGGCAAUAACAGGUCUGUGAUGCCCUUAGAUGUUCUGGGGUCCGCACG